This 490-nucleotide ribosomal RNA is filed under the name uncultured bacterium. Its description in RNAcentral is "partial 16S ribosomal RNA". It matches the Rfam family "Bacterial small subunit ribosomal RNA", at positions 30 to 507 of the family's 1533-position model. The record is from RNAcentral.
AUUGAACGCUGGCGGCAUGCCUUACACAUGCAAGUCGAACGGCAGCAUGAUCUAGCUUGCUAGAUUGAUGGCGAGUGGCGAACGGGUGAGUAAUACAUCGGAACGUGCCCUGUAGUGGGGGAUAACUAGUCGAAAGAUUAGCUAAUACCGCAUACGACCUGAGGGUGAAAGUGGGGGACCGCAAGGCCUCAUGCUAUAGGAGCGGCCGAUGUCUGAUUAGCUAGUUGGUGAGGUAAAGGCUCACCAAGGCGACGAUCAGUAGCUGGUCUGAGAGGACGAUCAGCCACACUGGGACUGAGACACGGCCCAGACGCCUACGGGAGGCAGCAGUGGGGAAUUUUGGACAAUGGGCGAAAGCCUGAUCCAGCAAUGCCGCGUGUGUGAAGAAGGCCUUCGGGUUGUAAAGCACUUUUGUCCGGAAAGAAAUGGCUCUGGUUAAUACCUGGGGUCGAUGACGGUACCGGAAGAAUAAGGACCGGCUAACUACGUG